CAGGAUGACGUAUAGCGUAGUUAUUGGUUGACGUGUGGCAAAUCCACGACCCAAUUAGAGAACACUUUAGAGGUUAUAAGAGCUCUGAGUGGGUUGUGAACGUUAAGCGUCAUCCAGCGGUACCGCCCUUUCGGUGGACGCGGGUUUUUAUGAAUGGAUGGAUAAUGAUCGCUCCGUGGGCUGUCUCAUCGCUGUGGCGGUGUUUUAUAAAUGUUGGAUCCCUCUUGGUAACAUGCACACCUUCAGGGUGUCCGCAACCUAGUAAAUGGGGCGGAAUUUGACUCGUCUGAGAUGACUGCACUGCUGCCUUGCCUGGGCUUGGAUUCCCUAUUUUAAUUGUACCGCACGUUCAUGACGCGCAUGGCGACCACGGCUGAGUUCACGUCCCUUCACCGAACCGGUGUUUCGAAAGCAGUAAUUGCGUUUCCUGGUCAUCUGCCUGCGUGAGGAUGGUAUUUUGAAAAGGAAAUUCCGUAUUGAACUCUCUGCUGUAUGUCUGUCCCUCUGGUCGCGCUGGGAUGAACUUGACCGUAACUUUGUUCGUUUGUUUGUGGAUUUUUUGUUUGCUUUAAUAAAUCGUUGCGAUUUAUUUUUGUUUCUUUUGUUUUGGUUAUUGUUGUAUUUUAUGUGAGUGUUAUUUGGUUGAAUUGUAUUUUGUUUGAAUGUAUUUAAAGUGAGAGACGUUGGUUGUGGGCUAAAGUUCACCAAGGGUUGUUUGGUAAUUUGCAGUGUUUUACGAACGUUGCUGUGGUAUUUUUGGAGUGUGGUGUGUAAGGUACACGCUCCCUGCUGACCAUCCACUUUAAAUUCUAUUGUCUUUUGGUCCUGUCUGUUGUUGUUAUUUUUAUUGUUAUCAUUGUUAUUUUUGUUCUUGUUAAAUAUGUAAAAUAAAGACUUUAUAUUUUUAA
Molecule: long non-coding RNA, 908 nt
Organism: Misgurnus anguillicaudatus (oriental weatherfish)
Lineage: Eukaryota; Metazoa; Chordata; Actinopteri; Cypriniformes; Cobitidae
Source: RefSeq, a predicted model, not a curated record